Long non-coding RNA from Quercus robur (English oak), 2507 nucleotides. RefSeq lists it as uncharacterized. The record is from RefSeq and is a predicted model, not a curated record. The transcript is spliced from 7 exons. Lineage: Eukaryota; Viridiplantae; Streptophyta; Magnoliopsida; Fagales; Fagaceae.
UUCUGAAUUGAAACCCUUUGUAAAACCUUCUGCUUUCUCACGGUUACAACUUUUUGUAUUUGCUUUCCUUUUGUUACACGGUUUCAAAUUCCUUUCUUCCAUGUUUUGUUUCACCGUAUCAGCUUUUGUUUUGCUUUCUAAUGGCAGCCUCUUGGUCUUCCUUCUGUCUUUCCUCUCCUCACAGUAUAUUAGUACUAUCAUAAGCUGGGUGAUUGAGUUAAGUGUACAAUAUAAGGAAGUUUGACUUGAAAUUCAAAACAAAUUGAACAAGUGGGUUAGCCUAUUUUUUCUUUUGAGAUCAAAUUAUAAUGGUCAACUGGAACCAUAACUUGUGUAUGUAUCCGCAAUUGUUGAUUGCGUAUAUUCAGUAUCACCAUCGACAAUGCAUCAAUUGCUGAAGCAGUUACUUCAACACUUUUAUAGAUUUUGAGAUUUGUGCAAGAAAUUGAAGAGUCCAAUAAGGAAGAACAACUUGAAACUCGAAUUUGAUGCAUUUUUGCCUGAUAUCAAGUUAUGGAUUUUGCGACUAAUGGAGGAUAAAAGAUGUGCGGGGUUGACACGUGACGACCCAUGGAUGAUGCACUAGUUGCAAUAAUUGUGAUGAUCUUUUUGUAGCGGAUGUUAAGGUUAUCUAGUAGGAGAAGACAAGGAGGGAUUAGGUGGAAUUGGCAAGGACUGAAGGCUACCUUCUAGCAUUUCUUCUACCUUAGUCAUUGAUGGUCGGUUUGAUGGAAUGGUUUGAAUGCACCACAAACUUAUUAAAAUCAUCUUCCUUGCAAUUUCUUCUUCCUCUUCACUUGUAAUCCCAUCCAAUCUUAAAUCCUUACCUCUUUCAAGAUGCUCAUAAAUAUAAUAAGAAAAAUAUAUUUCACUGGUUUGAGACACUCCAGCAUCGAUAUUUUUUCUUCCUGCUACUAUUUCAAGAACCAUCAUUUCGUAGCUAUACACAUCAGACUUGUGAGAUAUUCUGCCAAUGUUUCUCUACUCCACUUCAGGAGCAAUAUAUCCAGCAGUCCCUCUAGCAUUCAUUGUUGAUACAAUACUAUCUUUCCUUUCAAACAGUUUCGCAAGGCCGAAAUCGGAGAUUUUGGGACAUAAAUUAUCAUCUAAGAGAAUGUUGUGAGGUUUUAUGUCAAAAUGCAGAAUCCUUGUGUUACAACCACGAUGUAAGUACUCUAAUUCUCGAGCAAUGCCUUUACAAUUUCAUUAUGUGUUUUCCAUUUUAGUAGACCAUUUUCACUUGACAAUCCUUGAGUAUAUAUGAACUUAUCCAAUGAUUUGUUGGACAUUUAUUCAUAAAUCAAUGCUCUUUUAAUUCUUCUCAUAAUAGAAACCUAGAAAAGCGACUACAUUAAUGCUAGCAAUCUCAUUAAUGAAUUCUUCUCCAUUACCCUAGGACUCACUUAGUACUUUCACAGCCACUAGACGACCAUCAAGUAGCAUUCCCUAAUACACAACACCGUAUCCUCCUUGGCCUAUUUUAUUUAUGACUGAGUUUGUCACUUUCUUCACAAACGAAUAACUAUAUCGCUUUGGGCAAGAGACCCAUAAUUCCUUAUAAAUGCCUUGAAUUUUUGCUCAUUUCUGGUCUUUCUUCCAUAAGAUCAUUGCCGCAUGAUAAGCAUUCUCUCUUAAAGUUGUAGAAAGCCACAAUCGAGAUUAAAAUAAUUCCAGCCACAACUGCUGAAAUGCCUGUAUGCAAAGAAUGGUUUAAGAAUUGUGUUUCACUAAUAAUAAUAAUCAUCAGGGCAACCAGGAAAAAAGUGAAAAAAGAAAAAAGGAAAAUGGAAAAAGGAAAAAGAAAAAAAGAAAAAGAAAAAAAGAAAAAAAGAAAAGAAAAAGAAAACAUGUAUAUCAGUAUUAAUAAGUAUAUGUUCAUUCUACAGACCAGAGGUAUUUACUUUCCAUUUCAUACAAGGGCCAGAUAGCAGAACUUAGUAAGAAAUACUUUUUGACAAACGUUCAAAAUACGUAUAGCAACUUUAACAGUUAAAUUGUGCUUUGAACUUGCGUCAGGAACAUAAGAAAAGUUAGACUUCUUUUUAUGAAGUGAAUGUUAGUAUUAAAAUUUAUGUUGGGGUUAAGAGAGAGUGUAAAAUAACAAAAAAAAAAAAAAAAAUUAAAGUAGUUUGGCCUGAUGGUUUGUAUCCAUAAUGAAAAGCCCUUAAGUGGUUAUAUUUUUAUAUUAUUUUAAAUUUGUGUGUUACAAUAAGCUCAUAAAAGGUAUAUACAGAGAGACUAAAUCUAAAAUACCCAUAGACUAACAUGGGGUUAUUUUACUUACUCUACAAGUAGGCUUAAUAUUACUUUCCUUACACUACGAAGAACAUUGAUAUCUCUAAUAUCCCCCCUUGUAUUGAUAUAUCUAACAUCCUCUACAUCGAAGUGAAAACUUAAAAUCCCCUUGAGUUUGGAAUAUGAAAAUGAGAACUAAAGUGCGACCAUGAAGGACGGGAUCAAAUGUAGAAUGGAAUAGGCAUUAUGUAAAGUGGAAUGCUCAAGAAAAA